Molecule: microRNA precursor, 196 nt
Filed under: Oryza glumipatula
Lineage: Eukaryota; Viridiplantae; Streptophyta; Magnoliopsida; Poales; Poaceae
Description: MIR812 microRNA precursor family
Rfam family: MIR812 microRNA precursor family
Source: Rfam by way of RNAcentral
UUUAGGUGGAGUCAUAAUUUCCAUAUUUAACUUUAAUCAUCUAUCUUAUUAAAAAAAAUUUAAUCAAUAUUUUUAUUAUUAUUAUAUGAUAAAGUAUGAAUAUUAUUUUAUGCAUAACUUACAUUUUUUAUUUUUUAAAUAAAAUAUCAAAUAAGAGAGACGAUUAUGAUUGCGUUUAAAAUAGGAUGCACGGAGU